GUGCUUGCUUUGGCAGCACGUAUACUAAAAUUGGAACGAUACAGAGAAGAUGACACACAAAUUCAUGAAGCAUUCCAUAUUUUU
Molecule: small nuclear RNA, 84 nt
Filed under: Zalophus californianus (California sea lion)
Lineage: Eukaryota; Metazoa; Chordata; Mammalia; Carnivora; Otariidae
Source: RNAcentral